RNAcentral lists this non-coding RNA (28 nucleotides) under Mus musculus (house mouse). Lineage: Eukaryota; Metazoa; Chordata; Mammalia; Rodentia; Muridae. The record is from RNAcentral.
UUCUAGAAAAUGGUUGUAAAUCUGACUU